RNAcentral lists this ribosomal RNA (371 nucleotides) under uncultured organism. Its description in RNAcentral is "bacterial SSU rRNA". It matches the Rfam family "Bacterial small subunit ribosomal RNA", at positions 526 to 896 of the family's 1533-position model. The record is from RNAcentral.
CGAAGGGGGCCAGCGUUGUUCGGAAUUACUGGGCGUAAAGGGCGUGUAGGCGGCCCGUUAAGUCAGGUGUGAAAUUCCUGGGCUCAACCCAGGACGUGCGCCUGAGACUGGCGGGCUUGAAUCCGGGAGAGGAUGGUGGAACUCCCAGUGUAGAGGUGAAAUUCGUAGAUAUUGGGAAGAACACCCGUGGCGAAGGCGGCCAUCUGGACCGGUAUUGACGCUAAGGCGCGACAGCGUGGGGAGCAAACAGGAUUAGAUACCCUGGUAGUCCACGCCGUAAACGAUGAGUGCUAGACGUUGGGAAGCCUAGCUUUUCAGUGUCGCAGCUAACGCAUUAAGCACUCCGCCUGGGGAGUACGGCCGCAAGGUUG